RNAcentral lists this transfer RNA (91 nucleotides) under Vibrio sp. RNAcentral describes it as "tRNA-Ser". It matches the Rfam family "tRNA". Rfam says of the family: Transfer RNA (tRNA) molecules are approximately 80 nucleotides in length. Their secondary structure includes four short double-helical elements and three loops (D, anti-codon, and T loops). Lineage: Bacteria; Pseudomonadati; Pseudomonadota; Gammaproteobacteria; Vibrionales; Vibrionaceae. The record is from RNAcentral. RNAcentral also lists the same sequence under 6 other names.
GGAGGGAUGGCUGAGUGGUCGAAAGCACCGGUCUUGAAAACCGGCAAGGGUUAAUAGCUCUUCUAGGGUUCAAAUCCCUAUCCCUCCGCCA